UACGUAGGGUGCAAGCGUUGUCCGGAAUUAUUGGGCGUAAAGAGCUCGUAGGCGGUCUGUCGCGUCUGCUGUGAAAAUCCAGGGCUCAACCCUGGACCUGCAGUGGGUACGGGCAGACUAGAGUGCGGUAGGGGAGAUCGGAAUUCCUGGUGUAGCGGUGAAAUGCGCAGAUAUCAGGAGGAACACCGAUGGCGAAGGCAGCUCGCUGGGACGGUACUGACGCUGAGGCGCGAAAGCGUGGGGAGCAAACAGG
Molecule: ribosomal RNA, 253 nt
Filed under: uncultured bacterium
Lineage: Bacteria
Description: partial 16S ribosomal RNA
Rfam family: Bacterial small subunit ribosomal RNA
Source: RNAcentral